GAAGACAACACACCACCCCCCCCUCCUAGAGGAAGACCAUCCUCUCACUAUAUAGGGAAUAGUAGAGUGAGGUGCAGCUAUUGUAUUGAUAUCUCAUUAGUCUACCACCAGCAGUCUGCCACAGUAGUCUGCCACCAGCAUGCUGCUCUAGUAGUCUGCCACAGUAGUCUGCCACCAGCGGUCUGCCACCAGCAGUCUGCCACCAGCAGUCUGCCACCAGCAGUCUGCCACCAGUAGUCUGCCACCAGCAGUCUGCCACCAGCAGUCUGCCACCAGUAGUCUGCCACCAGCAGUAUGCCACCAGUAGUCUGCAACUGGCAGUCUGCCACCGGUAGUCUGCCACCGGUAGUCUGCCACCGGUAGUCUGCCAGCCUAUAGUCUGCCAGCCGGUAGUCUGCCAGCCGGUAGUUUGGUGAGAAAGCUGCUGGAACAGACUGUGUUGUAUUUUAUUUGAAGGGUUCUAGAUUAUUUUUGUCCAGAAUGUUGAUUAAAGCCUUUGUGAAGAACAAAGGAUAACAGGAAACAUAUAAUCAAUAAUUGUUAGCUGCUGUACUGCUGCAUUAAUUUCAGAGCAACAUGUAGGCCUCGUCUAUUUAGGGGAUCUUUGUACCAUGACGUUUAGCACGAGUUGGAUUAGAAAUACAGAAACCAAACAAACGGAUAAUAUCUUAGUGUUAUCAGAAGCCAAACAGUCAAACUUACAUUUCCAUCUGAUCUUGAGAAAAACUGUAACAACAGUGUGUGGGUCUCUGGUCUAAAGUAGUGCACUAUAUAGGGAAUAGGGCUCUGGUCUAAAGUAGUGCACUAUAUAGGGAAUAGGGCUCUGGUCUAAAGUAGCGCACUAUAUAGGGAAUAGGGCUCUGGUCUAAAGUAGCGCACUAUAUAGGGAAUAGGGCUCUGGUCUAAAGUAGUGCACUAUAUAGGGAAUAGGGCUCUGGUCUAAAGUAGUGUACUAUAUAGGGAAUAGGGCUCUGGUCUAAAGUAGUGUACUAUAUAGGGAAUAGGGCUCUGGUCUAAAGUAGUGUACUAUAUAGGGAAUAGGGCUCUGGUCUAAAGUAGCGUACUAUAUAGGGAAUAGGGCUCUGGUCUAAAGUAGUGUACUAUAUAGGGAAUAGGGCUCUGGUCUAAAGUAGCGUACUAUAUAGGGAAUAGGGCUCUGGUCUAAAGUAGUGCACUAUAUAGGGAAUAGGGCUCUGGUCUAAAGUACUGCACUUUAUAGGGAAUAGGGUGCUAUUUGGGACAUACAUCCCCAGUCUCAUGCUUUUGUCGAUGCUGAUCAAAAACAUGAUGAAAAAACCAACUCUGUGCUUUAUGUCUUUGGGAUGGACCUGGGCCUUGACUGACUACAUAUCACUUCUUAACUCAAUGACCUUCAACAACUGGGGAUGUUGCAAUUCUCUCAGAAACUAAAGAAAUCUUUUCCAAUCCAUCACUGCUUUUGUACGAGCUGUUGAAACGGGAAAGAGACAGUGAGCAAUGUGGAUGGGAACAAUUACUGGUACGAACACCCCUAGGGAUGGACUGGAACAACUAGGGGUGGACUGGGACAACUAGGGGUGGACUGGGACCACCAGGGAUGGACUGGGACCACUAGGGGUGGAAUGGGACCACCAGUGGAGGACUGGGACCAUCAGGGGUGGAAUGGGACCACAAGGCACGAACUGGGACAAAAAAUCGGCCAUGGAAUUUCUAACACAGCAGCCCAUUUUGGUCCUUGAGACCCCUGCAUUGGUCUGUUUUCCCCCUUGACGCCAUCGUUAUUAGUGCAAAAACACCCAUUUAGAUAGGCACAUUAGGCUAAAGUCGGACAAGCCCAUCUGGCAUUUGCCACAAUAGCCCUAUGCACAGUCCACCACUGAACACCACCUUCCUCCUGUGCUGUCAUGUGGAAGUGGAUUGACGUUGGCGUUCCCAAUCAGGACAAAAUGACGACACUCAACAAAAACAAACAUGUUAAUGUGUUUUAAUGCGUCUGAAGACCGCCGUUCAGUUGAAAUGAUAAACCACAGUGGAAGACUUCCACAUGGAAGACAUCACCUACCUGUUGUCGACGGUUAUGUAGCCUCAAAACAGACAGGUUAAGGAGGCUGUUCUUCAAGAGGUCAAUGUGGAUACAGAUUUAAAGUAGAGGUCAAUGUGGAUACAGAUUUAAAGUAGAGGUCAAUGUGGAUACAGAUUUAAAGUAGAGGUCAAUGUGGAUACCGAUCUAAAGUAGAGGUCAAUGUGGAUACCGAUUUAAAGUAUGAAUCAUAGAAAUAGAAUUGGUCAUGGGUACACUCAAAAUGGCCGCCGGGUCAACCCGCCAAAACUGCCCCAAGUGACUGGGAGGUCCAUUCUAAGGAUCCUCCUUAUAUGAUGUGAAUGACAUCAUGACACGCCAGCAACUAUAAGAGUAUAAAAAAUACUUAUUUCCAUAUGCUGUUUUUUCUCUCUCUAUGUUAAUAACUAGUGUAGUAAUCACUGUACAUAUGUUAUUAAUUAUUUUAAAUUAUUAGGUUCUGGUCUCAAUAGAAUCAGGGUUACUUGGAGUCAAAUCAUUUAAUCUUGAGUCUCGUCAAUAAUUAGGAUGCUCGUUUGUUUUUCUCAUUGAUUUAUGCAGUUGUUUAAAUUGUGUAUAGAACUUGUAAAUGUAAUUUUCUGACAGCAGCAAUUGAUUUUAUUUUUUAAGAUUGGAUACAAUUGGUUUGUGUUACGCACCAUGAGGUCAAUAAUAACAGUACUGUCAUAUCUGAAACCUAGAAUGUGUCCUAAAUGGUACCCUAUUCCCUAUAUAGUGCACUACUUUUGACCAGAGCACCAUAGACCCUGGUCAAAAGUAGUGUACUAUAUAGGGAAUAGGGUCCCAUUUGGGAAGCACUCACAUUUCCCUGCUCCCUCUACCCCUCAUUCCCUAACAGUCAUACAAGAUCUGAAAUAUCUACGUUCACUGCAAUAACAUCAUGGUCAAUGUGAUUGUCUCUUCUCAUAUUCUUUGCCUUUUAUUGGGUUUAUUGUAACGAGCACGGCUGCAACACACACACACACACACACAGGGAGUCAUGAGGUGUGUGUAUUUAAUCAAAAACAACAAUUUUCUAAUCUUAGUAGAUUGAGUUUAAUGUCAAAUCCCCCCACCAAAUAAAUGUUAUAGGUUUCUUUGUUUUUCCCUUUUGCCUUUCAAGUCCAAGGUCGUGCAGUACAGUUCCAAGGUCGUGCAGUACAGUUCCAACAGUACAGUUCCAAGGUCGAGCAGUACAGUUCCAAGGUCGAGCAGUACAGUUCCAAGGUCGAGCAGUACAGUUCCAAGGUCGAGCAGUACAGUUCCAAGGUCGUACAGUAAAUUGAAAUGGAAUGAUGGCUUUUCUCUGCUGUGCUUUUCUGGCCACGUCCGUUAUUUUUCCAAUCUGGAGGAAAUGUUUUGGGUUGCAGCAUUUACCUCAGCUCUGAAUUGGUGUGUUACCGUGUGUGUGUGUAUGUUUGCAUGGUGUGUGUGUGUGUGUGUGUGUGUGUUGCAUGGUGAGUGUGUGUGUGUGUUUGAUGGGAUGUGAUGUGAUGUGUGUGUCUGUGGGAUGUGUGUUUGUUUGCAUGGUGAGUGUAUGUGU
Oncorhynchus tshawytscha (Chinook salmon) is the source of this 3581-nucleotide long non-coding RNA. The record is from Ensembl. Lineage: Eukaryota; Metazoa; Chordata; Actinopteri; Salmoniformes; Salmonidae.